UCCAGACUCCUACGGGAGGCAGCAGUGGGGAAUAUUGCACAAUGGGCGCAAGCCUGAUGCAGCCAUGCCGCGUGUGUGAAGAAGGCCUUAGGGUUGUAAAGCACUUUCAGCGAGGAGGAAGGCAUCAUACUUAAUACGUGUGGUGAUUGACGUUACUCGCAGAAGAAGCACCGGCUAACUCCGUGCCAGCAGCCGCGGUAAUACGGAGGGUGCAAGCGUUAAUCGGAAUUACUGGGCGUAAAGCGCACGCAG
Molecule: ribosomal RNA, 252 nt
Filed under: Rahnella aceris
Lineage: Bacteria; Pseudomonadati; Pseudomonadota; Gammaproteobacteria; Enterobacterales; Yersiniaceae
Description: partial 16S ribosomal RNA
Rfam family: Bacterial small subunit ribosomal RNA
Source: RNAcentral